ACGAACGCUGGCGGCGUGCCUAACACAUGCAAGUCAACUUGACUGAAGGAGCAAUCUGACAGUAGAGUGGCGCAAGGGUGCGUAACGCGUAGUAACUUGCCCAAGGUAAGGAAUAACGUCGAGAAAUCGGCGCUAAUACCUCAUAAUGCAGCGGAUCCGCAUGGAUAUGUUGUUAAAGGUUUACCGCCUUGGGAUAGGCUUGCGUCUGAUUAGUUAGUUGGUGUGGUAACGGCACACCAAGGCUACGAUCAGUAACUGGUCUGAGAGGAUGAUCAGUCACACUGGAACUGAGACACGGUCCAGACUCCUACGGGAGGCAGCAGUGAGGAAUAUUGGGCAAUGCUCGAAAGAGUGACCCAGCAACGCCGCGUGGAGGAUGAAGGUAUUCUAUAUCGUAAACUCCUGUGAGAGCAGACGAAAGACAGAUUAUUAAUCUGGAUGACUGUAUGCUCAGAGGAAGCCCCGGCUAACUACGUG
RNAcentral lists this ribosomal RNA (477 nucleotides) under uncultured bacterium. RNAcentral's name for it is "bacterial SSU rRNA". It matches the Rfam family "Bacterial small subunit ribosomal RNA", at positions 29 to 507 of the family's 1533-position model. The record is from RNAcentral.